Anolis carolinensis (green anole) is the source of this 438-nucleotide long non-coding RNA. RefSeq lists it as uncharacterized. The transcript is spliced from 2 exons. The record is from RefSeq and is a predicted model, not a curated record. NCBI's taxonomy places the organism in Eukaryota, Metazoa, Chordata, Lepidosauria, Squamata, Anolidae.
AGAGCCUCCUUGAUUGACUGGCUUCUCGCUGGGAGAACGUGCUUCCCGCCUAAAAUCCUGCAGCUGCUUCAUUCCUGCAGAAUUCAGGGGCUAGUCAUUGAGUCAAACCCAGGGCUUUUCUCACUGAGCCUUUGAAAGGUCCCUCCCCUCAACCACAAGCCCCAGAAUCCUGCAGGAAGGAGGCAGACACAGGGUUUCAGAUGAGGUGCCUAGGCUUUGCCUGCUCUUUCAGCUCUAGCGAUUUAUUAUGAAAGCGAUUUAACAAAAAAAAACCCCACAUGCUUCCUUUUGACCCUUGACAUAGAAAACAAAGCUACUGAGGCACAGAAAGAUGUAGCGCUUAACAAGGUACAUUUACAACAACUGUUUCAAUUAUUGAUGUGAAUAAUGUUGUUAAACAUAUUGGCAAUGGUGAGACAAUUAAAAAAACCCUCCUAA